CGGCAGCACGGGAGCAAUCCUGGUGGCGAGUGGCGAACGGGUGAGUAAUAUAUCGGAACGUGCCCAGUCGUGGGGGAUAACGUAGCGAAAGCUACGCUAAUACCGCAUACGAUCUAUGGAUGAAAGCGGGGGAUCGCAAGACCUCGCGCGAUUGGAGCGGCCGAUAUCAGAUUAGGUAGUUGGUGAGGUAAAGGCUCACCAAGCCGACGAUCUGUAGCUGGUCUGAGAGGACGACCAGCCACACUGGGACUGAGACACGGCCCAGACUCCUACGGGAGGCAGCAGUGGGGAAUUUUGGACAAUGGGCGCAAGCCUGAUCCAGCAAUGCCGCGUGCAGGAUGAAGGCCUUCGGGUUGUAAACUGCUUUUGUACGGAACGAAACGGUGAGCUCUAAUACAGUUUGCUAAUGACGGUACCGUAAGAAUAAGCACCGGCUAACUACGUGCCAGCAGCCGCGGUAAUACGUAGGGUGCGAGCGUUAAUCGGAAUUACUGGGCGUAAAGCGUGCGCAGGCGGUGAUGUAAGACAGAUGUGAAAUGCCCGGGCUCAACCUGGGACCUGCAUUUGUGACUGCAUCGCUAGAGUACGGUAGAGGGGGAUGGAAUUCCGCGUGUAGCAGUGAAAUGCGUAGAUAUGCGGAGGAACACCGAUGGCGAAGGCAAUCCCCUGGACCUGUACUGACGCUCAUGCACGAAAGCGUGGCGAUUA
This 708-nucleotide ribosomal RNA is filed under the name bacterium. RNAcentral's name for it is "bacterial SSU rRNA". It matches the Rfam family "Bacterial small subunit ribosomal RNA", at positions 67 to 770 of the family's 1533-position model. The record is from RNAcentral.